AUUGAACGUUGGCGGCAGGCCUAACACAUGCAAGUCGAGCGGAUGAAGGGAGCUUGCUCCUGGAUUCAGCGGCGGACGGGUGAGUAAUGCCUAGGAAUCUGCCUGGUAGUGGGGGAUAACGUCCGGAAACGGGCGCUAAUACCGCAUACGUCCUGAGGGAGAAAGUGGGGGAUCUUCGGACCUCACGCUAUCAGAUGAGCCUAGGUCGGAUUAGCUAGUUGGUGGGGUAAAGGCCUACCAAGGCGACGAUCCGUAACUGGUCUGAGAGGAUGAUCAGUCACACUGGAACUGAGACACGGUCCAGACUCCUACGGGAGGCAGCAGUGGGGAAUAUUGGACAAUGGGCGAAAGCCUGAUCCAGCCAUGCCGCGUGUGUGAAGAAGGUCUUCGGAUUGUAAAGCACUUUAAGUUGGGAGGAAGGGCAGUAAGUUAAUACCUUGCUGUUUUGACGUUACCAACAGAAUAAGCACCGGCCAACUUCGUG
RNAcentral lists this ribosomal RNA (484 nucleotides) under uncultured bacterium. RNAcentral's name for it is "partial 16S ribosomal RNA". It matches the Rfam family "Bacterial small subunit ribosomal RNA", at positions 30 to 507 of the family's 1533-position model. The record is from RNAcentral.